Molecule: RNA transcript, 1600 nt
Organism: Cydia splendana
Lineage: Eukaryota; Metazoa; Arthropoda; Insecta; Lepidoptera; Tortricidae
Gene name: L-threonine ammonia-lyase-like
Exons: 13
Source: RefSeq, a predicted model, not a curated record
GUUCUGACACAAACAGUCAUCAAACCAUAAGCCAUAAGCAACAUAUUAUAAACUCCGAUACCAACAUUUCGAAAAUAGCUAAAAUUCUAGUGCUUUUAUUGGCCCUCAACUCUUCUCUACACAAUAAGUAUAUAAUAAAAUAUGUCUAAAAGAAUUGAUAAUUAUGAUCUAAUGAGCGACCCUGACAACCCCCAAACGGUAACGUUUGAAGAUAUCCAAGCCGCCCUAGCACGAAUACGACCCUACGUGCCUGUGACACCUGUUGUACUAUCGCAUCAAAGCAUGACGUUCACAAUGAAUAUUAUUUACAAGAUGGAAAGUGUCCUCCCAUCCGGAAGCCAUAAAGAGCGCGGGGUUGCAAAUGCUCUUCACCAAAUAUCCAGGGACUCCAAGAAGGUCGGCUUAAUGAUUGCGUCUCUAGGGAACCACGCCUAUUCGAUGGCUUACCACGCUGCACGCAUGAAUAUCCCAAUCACCGCGAUGUUUCCUGACUUCGUUCCCAUACAGAAAUUGCAGAAGAUACACGCGCUUGGCGCUAAGGUAUUGGUGCGAGGGACCAACAUCGCGGACACACACAAAUUAGCCCGGGCCAUGGCGAAGGAAAAAGGACUCUUAUUUAUCAAUGGUCGUGACCACCCGAACAUUCUAGCCGGACUUGGGACAAUUGGGAUAGAGAUUCUAGAGCAAGUGCCCACUGUGGACGCGGUGCUGGUGCCCGUCGGCACGGGCGGGCUCAUCGGCAGCGUGGGCACCGUCAUCAAGAGGCUCAAGCCCAACUGCCUUGUUUACGGCGUGCAGUCAGAACUGAUGCCUGUGUUCGCCAAAGCACUGGAAGCCGGCGAACCGGUCACUAUUCCGGAUGUGAACACUAUUGCUGACUGUCUGCAGGUGACCAGAGCUGGCGUCAAUGCCUUCCACAACGCCAAAUCUGUCAUUGACAAACUGUUGCUUGUAAAGGAAGACUGGGUGGCACGUGCCAUACUAGCGCUGGUAGAGCAGGAACGCUUCGUGGUGGAGGGCGCUGGUGCCUGUCCGCUCGCUGCAAUCAUUGGACACUUGGUUCCUGAGCUCAAGUCGAAGACGGUCGUAUGCCUUAUCACCGGUGGAAACAUAGACAGUAGUUUCCUAGCCCGAUGCUUUGAUAGGGGUCUAGCAGCAGAAGGCAGACUCAUAAAAUUCAGAGUGGGGAUCAAAGACAGUUCGCCUGAAUUAGGCAAAUUGAUGAGGUUGAUCGCCGAUCUGGGAUUUAACGUCCUACGCCAUUUCCGCGAUGCUGUGUGGGUCGAGGAUGACGUGUACCACGUAGAGAUGCGAAUAGUGUGUGAGGGAAGGAAUUUGGAACACUCUCUGGAGCUGAAGCGAGCGUUGGACAGAGCAUAUGCCGGAUUAACUCUGUUCGACACUGAACCGUUUAACGAUAAAAGUAUGUGCCCGUGUUAUGUUGCCAAGAUUUGAUCGAGAAAGGUUGUCCAGGUUGUGGAUUCAGUUACUGCUCCAAAUGUUUAGAACACAAGAUAUUUUUACAGAAAAUUAAUUCAGAAGCCAAGGUAUGUGUAAAAUGUAAGCAAACAGCUCAACAAUUGAAAGGGGCUAAGCCGAU